CUAAUACCGCAUAACAACUUGGACCGCAUGGUCCGAGUUUGAAAGAUGGCUUCGGCUAUCACUUUUGGAUGGUCCCGCGGCGUAUUAGCUAGAUGGUGGGGUAACGGCUCACCAUGGCAAUGAUACGUAGCCGACCUGAGAGGGUAAUCGGCCACAUUGGGACUGAGACACGGCCCAAACUCCUACGGGAGGCAGCAGUAGGGAAUCUUCCACAAUGGACGAAAGUCUGAUGGAGCAACGCCGCGUGAGUGAAGAAGGGUUUCGGCUCGUAAAACUCUGUUGUUAAAGAAGAACAUAUCUGAGAGUAACUGUUCAGGUAUUGACGGUAUUUAACCAGAAAGCCACGGCUAACUACGUGCCAGCAGCCGCGGUAAUACGUAGGUGGCAAGCGUUGUCCGGAUUUAUUGGGCGUAAAGCGAGCGCAGGCGGUUUUUUAAGUCUGAUGUGAAAGCCUUCGGCUCAACCGAAGAAGUGCAUCGGAAACUGGGAAACUUGAGUGCAGAAGAGGACAGUGGAACUCCAUGUGUAGCGGUGAAAUGCGUAGAUAUAUGGAAGAACACCAGUGGCGAAGGCGGCUGUCUGGUCUGUAACUGACGCUGAGGCUCGAAAGUAUGGGUAGCAAACAGGAUUAGAUACCCUGGUAGUCCAUACCGUAAACGAUGAAUGCUAAGUGUUGGAGGGUUUCCGCCCUUCAGUGCUGCAGCUAACGCAUUAAGCAUUCCGCCUGGGGAGUACGGCCGCAAGGCUGAAACUCAAAGGAAUUGACGGGGGCCCGCACAAGCGGUGGAGCAUGUGGUUUAAUUCGAAGCUACGCGAAGAACCUUACCAGGUCUUGACAUACUAUGCAAAUCUAAGAGAUUAGACGUUCCCUUCGGGGACAUGGAUACAGGUGGUGCAUGGUUGUCGUCAGCUCGUGUCGUGAGAUGUUGGGUUAAGUCCCGCAACGAGCGCAACCCUUAUUAUCAGUUGCCAGCAUUAAGUUGGGCACUCUGGUGAGACUGCCGGUGACAAACCGGAGGAAGGUGGGGAUGACGUCAAAUCAUCAUGCCCCUUAUGACCUGGGCUACACACGUGCUACAAUGGAUGGUACAACGAGUUGCGAACUCGCGAGAGUAAGCUAAUCUCUUAAAGCCAUUCUCAGUUCGGAUUGUAGGCUGCAACUCGCCUACAUGAAGUCGGAAUCGCUAGUAAUCGCGGAUCAGCAUGCCGCGGUGAAUACGUUCCCGGGCCUUGUACACACCGCCCGUCACACCAUGAGAGUUUGUAACACCCAA
RNAcentral lists this ribosomal RNA (1274 nucleotides) under Lactiplantibacillus plantarum subsp. plantarum. Its description in RNAcentral is "bacterial SSU rRNA". It matches the Rfam family "Bacterial small subunit ribosomal RNA", at positions 163 to 1424 of the family's 1533-position model. The record is from RNAcentral. Lineage: Bacteria; Bacillati; Bacillota; Bacilli; Lactobacillales; Lactobacillaceae.